GGGGCAGCGGGGGCGAAGCUUGCUUCGCCUGCCGGCGACCGGCGCACGGGUGAGUAACACGUAUGCGACCUGCCCCCCGCAGGGGGAUAACCGGGAGAAAUCCCGACUAAUACCGCGUAACGCCGCGGGGCUGCAUGGCCCCGCGGCCAAAGGAAGCGAUUCCGGCGGGGGAUGGGCAUGCGGCGCAUUAGCUAGUCGGCGGGGUAACGGCCCACCGAGGCGACGAUGCGUAGGGGUUCUGAGAGGAAGGUCCCCCACACUGGUACUGAGACACGGACCAGACUCCUACGGGAGGCAGCAGUGAGGAAUAUUGGUCAAUGGGCGUAAGCCUGAACCAGCCAAGUCGCGUGAGGGAAGACGGUCCUACGGAUUGUAAACCUCUUUUGCCGGGGAGCAACGGGGUCCUUGCGAGGGCCUUAUGAGAGUACCCGGAGAAAAAGCAUCGGCUAACUCCGUGCCAGCAGCCGCGGUAAUACGGAGGAUGCGAGCGUUAUCCGGAUUUAUUGGGUUUAAAGGGUGCGUAGGCGGGCUGUUAAGUCAGCGGUCAAAUGUCGGGGCUCAACCCCGGCCUGCCGUUGAAACUGGCGGCCUCGAGUGGGCGAGAAGUAUGCGGAAUGCGUGGUGUAGCGGUGAAAUGCAUAGAUAUCACGCAGAACUCCGAUUGCGAAGGCAGCAUACCGGCGCCCGACUGACGCUGAGGCACGAAAGCGUGGGUAUCGAACAGGAUUAGAUACCCUGGUAGUCCACGCAGUAAACGAUGAAUGCUAGCUGUCCGGUUCUACGGGACUGGGUGG
Molecule: ribosomal RNA, 794 nt
Filed under: uncultured bacterium
Lineage: Bacteria
Description: bacterial SSU rRNA
Rfam family: Bacterial small subunit ribosomal RNA
Source: RNAcentral